GGCAAGCGUUGUCCGGAAUUAUUGGGCGUAAAGGGCUCGCAGGCGGUUCCUUAAGUCUGAUGUGAAAGCCCCCGGCUCAACCGGGGAGGGUCAUUGGAAACUGGGGAACUUGAGUGCAGAAGAGGAGAGUGGAAUUCCACGUGUAGCGGUGAAAUGCGUAGAGAUGUGGAGGAACACCAGUGGCGAAGGCGACUCUCUGGUCUGUAACUGACGCUGAGGAGCGAAAGCGUGGGGAGCGAACAGGAUUAGAUACCCUGGUAGUCCACGCCGUAAACGAUGAGUGCUAAGUGUUAGGGGGUUUCCGCCCCUUAGUGCUGCAGCUAACGCAUUAAGCACUCCGCCUGGGGAGUACGGUCGCAAGACUGAAACUCAAAGGAAUUGACGGGGGCCCGCACAAGCGGUGGAGCAUGUGGUUUAAUUCGAAGCAACGCGAAGAACCUUACCAGGUCUUGACAUCCUCUGACAAUCCUAGAGAUAGGACGUCCCCUUCGGGGGCAGAGUGACAGGUGGUGCAUGGUUGUCGUCAGCUCGUGUCGUGAGAUGUUGGGUUAAGUC
RNAcentral lists this ribosomal RNA (555 nucleotides) under uncultured bacterium. RNAcentral describes it as "bacterial SSU rRNA". It matches the Rfam family "Bacterial small subunit ribosomal RNA", at positions 533 to 1086 of the family's 1533-position model. The record is from RNAcentral.